GAGUUUGAUCGUGGCUCAGAUUGAACGCUGGCGGCAGGCCUAACACAUGCAAGUCGAGCGGAUGACGGGAGCUUGCUCCUUGAUUCAGCGGCGGACGGGUGAGUAAUGCCUAGGAAUCUGCCUGGUAGUGGGGGACAACGUUUCGAAAGGAACGCUAAUACCGCAUACGUCCUACGGGAGAAAGCAGGGGACCUUCGGGCCUUGCGCUAUCAGAUGAGCCUAGGUCGGAUUAGCUAGUUGGUGGGGUAAUGGCUCACCAAGGCGACGAUCCGUAACUGGUCUGAGAGGAUGAUCAGUCACACUGGAACUGAGACACGGUCCAGACUCCUACGGGAGGCAGCAGUGGGGAAUAUUGGACAAUGGGCGAAAGCCUGAUCCAGCCAUGCCGCGUGUGUGAAGAAAGGUCUUUCGGAUUGUAAAAGCACUUUAAAGUUGGGAGGAAGGGCAGUAAGUUAAUACCUUGCUGUUUUUGACGUUUACCGACAGAAUAAGC
RNAcentral lists this ribosomal RNA (493 nucleotides) under bacterium enrichment culture clone ALO1_GLFRUDD03GKCUR. Its description in RNAcentral is "bacterial SSU rRNA". It matches the Rfam family "Bacterial small subunit ribosomal RNA", at positions 9 to 491 of the family's 1533-position model. The record is from RNAcentral.